CAGGGGUAUAGCCAAGUGGUUAAGGCAUCGGACUUUGACUCCGACAUCGGUGGUUCAACUCCACCUGCCCCUGCCAA
RNAcentral lists this transfer RNA (77 nucleotides) under Selenomonas ruminantium subsp. lactilytica TAM6421. Its description in RNAcentral is "tRNA-Gln". It matches the Rfam family "tRNA". From Rfam's summary of the family: Transfer RNA (tRNA) molecules are approximately 80 nucleotides in length. Their secondary structure includes four short double-helical elements and three loops (D, anti-codon, and T loops). Further hydrogen bonds mediate the characteristic L-shaped molecular structure. tRNAs have two regions of fundamental functional importance: the anti-codon, which is responsible for specific mRNA codon recognition, and the 3' end, to which the tRNAs corresponding amino acid is attached (by aminoacyl-tRNA synthetases). tRNAs cope with the degeneracy of the genetic code in two manners: having more than one tRNA (with a specific anti-codon) for a particular amino acid; and 'wobble' base-pairing, i.e. permitting non-standard base-pairing at the 3rd anti-codon position. Lineage: Bacteria; Bacillati; Bacillota; Negativicutes; Selenomonadales; Selenomonadaceae. The record is from RNAcentral.